This 455-nucleotide ribosomal RNA is filed under the name Candidatus Omnitrophota bacterium. RNAcentral describes it as "partial 23S ribosomal RNA". It matches the Rfam family "Bacterial large subunit ribosomal RNA", at positions 2485 to 2925 of the family's 2925-position model. Lineage: Bacteria; Pseudomonadati; Candidatus Omnitrophota. The record is from RNAcentral.
AUCGGGCUCGAGAGUUCACAUCGACAGCCCGGUUUGGCACCUCGAUGUCGGCUCAUCCUAUCCUGGGGCUGGAUAAGGUCCCAAGGGUCCGGCUGUUCGCCGGUUAAAAGGGUACGCGAGCUGGGUUUAGAACGUCGUGAGACAGUUCGGUCUCUAUCUGAUGUGGGCGCAAGGAUACCUGAAGGGGAGCUUUCCACAGUACGAGAGGACCUGGAAAGACAGACCUCUGGUGUUCCGGUUGUCACGCCAAGUGGCAAAGGCCGGGUAGCUAUGUCUGGAAGGGAUAAACGCUGAAGGCAUCUAAGCGUCAAACCCACCCCAAGAAUAGGUAUCCCUUCUGCCAUGAACAGUGGCAGAUGUAGGCCGGUCGUAGACUACGACCUUGAUAGGCGCAAGGUGUAAGACCCGUAAGGGUUUGAGCCAAUGCGUACUAAUCGGCCAAUCGGCUUGACCUU